RNAcentral lists this small RNA (3755 nucleotides) under Mytilus galloprovincialis (Mediterranean mussel). Lineage: Eukaryota; Metazoa; Mollusca; Bivalvia; Mytilida; Mytilidae. The record is from RNAcentral.
AUGGAAUCUGAAUUUGACUGCCGUUUAUGUGGAAAAUCAGAAAAGAAGAUCACACAUCGUCAUUUGCCUUGUGAAAAAUCUAAGCACGCAAGAGACAUUAAACUAGCAUUAAAUAUUGAAAUUGAAAAUGAUCCUCCUUUUUUGUCAAAUUUCAUAUGUGAAAGCUGUCGGCUUAAAUUAGUAAGAUGGAGAAAAGAUGUUAAUAAGAAUAAGAAAGCCAAAAUCAACAUUGAGGUAGUGGAAAUUGAAUCGGGCGAUAUCUUGUCCCAGUCACAAUCAAACAGUACUUGGCAAGGUAUUGAAUCUUUGGCAAACGAAUUAGGAUGGGUUUCUAACAUUCAAGACGGAUCAAGAUGUUUUAUAAAAUUGCAGGAAGACAGAGUUCUUCUUAGCAUAUGUGUUGACUCCGACCUGAACUGCAGAAUCAUAGUCUUAGAAAAAGUUGUUAAAUUUGAAAAUAUUCUUGAAAAUAGCACAAGUAUCAAUGAUGCAUCAAUUGUUGAAAAGUUGAUGAAUAAAAUUUCAUGCAUGAAGGUUUGCCCAGGAAACGAUGACUUUUCUGAUAUUUGUCGUUAUCGGUUUCCUAGCACACUAGCAAAAUUUAGAAACACAGAAGACAUUUUAAUAGCAUCUGAAGAACAUUUAGCACAUAGAACAACAAUACGCACAGUUGCUUGUGGUAUGUUAUGUGAUAGCCAGCAAGAAAGAUGUUCAAAUUGUCAGGUUUUCCGACCAAACCUCUUCAUGCAACGGAGUAGAAUGAAAAACAAUUCAUCAGAAACAAAGCUAACACAUAGACUGGAUUAUAUGACAACUGGUCAGUUGAAAGAGAGAGUAUUGAACUCAAGGGAUGAAAUACGAAGUCUUAAAAGAAAAAUGGACAGUCUAAAAGAACAGUUAUCUGAAUACUGCGACAAGUUAGGAGUGAAGUUGGACAUUGAAAUUUCAGAGUCUUUUGUAAGCAUAAUGAAAGAAAACAGUGACAUUGCGCUAUCAAAAUUUAAAGAAAAUAGUCCACAAUACAUUCUUUGGAAACAGCAACUAGAAGCGGCAACAAAGUCAAAUCUGAAGCAAAUGAGAUGGCAUCCAACUUUGUUAAGGUGGUGUAUAGCUUUGCAUGCAAAAUCUCCAUCUGCUUACAGAAUGCUUAAGAAAAGCAACGUACUAACACUUCCACAUGAGAAUACACUCCGGGAUUAUACAAAGUUUACGAGUACACAAAGUGGCUGGAAUACUGACGUGAUCGACAGAGCUAUACUGGACUUUAGCAUCUUAGAUGAUCCCCUGAAACAGAAUAUUUCGUUGCUGUUUGAUGAAGUGAAAGUGAAGUCUGGACUCGUAUACUGUUCUGAAUCAGGCAGAUUGAUUGGAUUUUGUGAUUUGGGGUCUGUGAAUAAUGAUAUUCAGAACUUUUGUAUAAAUGAAUCAGAAACAUCAGAGCCCGGCAUUGCAAGUCAUAUCAUGACAAUAAUGAUACGAGGCAUAUUUUCUAAUCUCGAGUGUGUGGUUGCACAUUACCCUUGCAAAGGAUUCACUAGUUAUCAAUUAUUUUGGAUUAUUUGGCACGGCAUUGGCAUUUUAGAAAAAUAUGGUUUAAUUGUUAGAGCUUUGGUGUGCGACGGUGCUACUCCUAACAGGAAAUUCUACAGGAUUCAUGGACAAAACCAAGAUUUAUGCUAUUUUACAAAUAAUGAAUAUGGAGACGAAAUAAAUCUAUACUUCAUUUGUGAUGCACCUCAUCUAAUGAAAACAACCAGAAAUAACUUUGAGAACUCAGGAUGGAACAAUAAAACCAGAAAUUUAAUGGUAAGUAAUGUGACAUGUUGGGCUAUUCUGCACGAGCUAAAACUCCCUCUUGAAGGCCGUACUUUGGCCUUUAAUUGUUUACUUUUUACACCUUGAGAUUUGGAUGGAGUUGUUUUAUUGCCAUUCAUACCACAUCUUAAUUCCAUUAGAUACACAGAAAAUCGUCUAAAUUUCAUUUUUAAGUAAAAUAUGCCGGUUUUAUAUAUUUUAAACACCCCUGCAGUUCUUUCAAUAAGAAAAUGAAUAUACUGUAGAACCUUUAUUCAAAGAUAUGUAGAUGGCUAAUGUCACAGUAUUGUUUAAUUCUUUUUUUCUCUUUCCAGUUGAAUGGGAAGCCUAUUAAAUGGUCACAGAUAGUAACACUAGUGGAAGGGGAUAUUCAUGGAAUGGGUUUGCGACUUCUUCCAAGGAUCAGUUAUGAGCAUCUUCAUCUAACACCAACUUUGAGAAUGAGAGUCAAAUUAGCAGUGCAGGUUAGUUUUUGUUUUUAUAUACUAGUGCUCUGUACUAGUGCAUGUUGUAAAAAAAUAUUAAACUCCAAAGAGAAAAUAGAUAUUUUACCUUUUUAAAAUACAAAAUAAGAAGGAAAAUUAUAUUAAUUUUAUAUACAGAUGGUCUAUUAAAUAUCAGUAUUUUAAUUUCAGUUGUACAAUACUUUUCAGAUUCUUAGUUCCAGCGUUGCGAAUGCCCUACAACUCAAAGGCAACCCAGAAACUGAGUCAACACAACUUUUCAUAAGAAUGUUUGAUAAAUUUUUCGAUUGCCUGAAUGUGUCAAAUACAAAAUCAGGCAUCUUUCAGAGGAAACCAACUUGUGCACCAUACACUAAUAUCAAUGAUUGGAGAUUUAAGGUUUGUAUAAAUGUUCUUUAGUUUUCUUUUGAUUUUCGAUAUACUAGUAGACUUUGAGAUCUUAAAAACUCGUUCAAAGAAGUAAAAAUAAAUUAUUAAACUUUAAAAUUCUUGGAGUUGCACAUACAUUGUACCCAGGAAUCAAAUGAAAAUAAGGAGAUGUGGUAUGAUUUGCAAUGAUUUUGUAUAAGUUACAUCUAUAAAGUUGCUUCAUUUUUUUACUUAAACAUGUUAAAUAAGGCGGUUUGUUUUCUCGUUUGAAUUGUUUUACAUUGUCUUAUCGGGGCCUUUUAUAGCUGACUAUGCAGUAUGGGCUUUGCUCAUUAUUGAAGGCCGUACUGUGACCUGUAGUUGUUAAUGUUUGUGUCAUUUUGGUCUUUUGUGGAUAGUUGUCUCAUUGGCAAUCAUACCACAUCUUCUCUUUUAUAUUAAUGGGAAAAAAAAUAGAUAAAUAAGUUUAGCAUUACUUUUUUUUUGCAACAGUGGCUAGAGGAGGACUUCCUUAAGUUUUUAACCAAAUGGGAGCAAGAAGGAGAAAAUCAAGCAGAUCUAAGUAAAAAGGAAAAGAAACAACUAUGCCUAAGCAGGGAAACCCUUGAAGGACUGAGAAUAACAGGUAAAUUCUGAUUUCGGAACAAGUGUAUUUUAAAUAAUUUAUCCUUAUUUCACAUUGUAGAUAAAUUUUGUCUGAAUAAUUGUGCUAGGAUUAAGACAACUGUUGACUGUUUUUAUGGUAGGUUUAUAUUUGUCAUUGAUCUAAUAACUAUCAAUAUGGUUAAAUUAAUAAUUUCACUCAUUUCUUUUUCAGUUAAAUCAUUUGUGGAGUUGGGAAAGCAACUGCUUCUGCUACCAAAUGUUCGAUUCCUGUUGAGCGAGAAGUUUAACCAAGAUCCACUUGAAGAAUACUUUUCCAAGCAGAGGGGCAUGGGAGGAUUUUGUGAUAAUCCUACUGUAGGGCAAUUUCAAAACAAUGCAUUAAAGUUGCAAGUUGCAAAUGCUCCGGCAGUAAUGGCAUCUACAAGAGGAAACUGUCAGACAAGACAAAACGCACAGCCAAUUGAAGCACCAUUAAGCAAACGGAAACACAAAAGACAUUGA